Molecule: non-coding RNA, 327 nt
Organism: Leptonychotes weddellii (Weddell seal)
Lineage: Eukaryota; Metazoa; Chordata; Mammalia; Carnivora; Phocidae
Source: RefSeq, a predicted model, not a curated record
GGGCCGGCGCGCUGGGCGCCCUGGGCGCGGGCGUUCCCGGCUUUGGUCUUCAAAGUCCUUCUUUUCACUAGGAAAGGUAUGGAGAAAAGAUUCCCGGCGCUUGUUCUCCAACCGCUCCCUGAAACAACACGAGCGGGCGUUUUCAGUGAUGAGCUUGGAGUGCCCCCCCGUGGAAGGAGAUGAGCACUGCAAUUGCUUUCUUACAGGUAUUGGCCUCAGCCUAAGGGUAAAUGAAUGAAAUCACCAAGACUAUCAUAGCUGUAUGAAGGUGGUAACUGAAUGUUCUCCAAGAAGGAAUAACAGAAGAAAGUGACUUGAGUCAUUCGA